CGGAGUGGCGAACGGGUGAGUAAUACAUCGGAACGUGUCCGCUCUGGGGGACAACCAGCCGAAAGGUUGGCUAAUACCGCAUGAGUUCUACGGAAGAAAGAGGGGGACCCGCAAGGGCCUCUCGCGAGCGGAGCGGCCGAUGACUGAUUAGCCGGUUGGUGAGGUAACGGGCUCACCAAAGCAACGAUCAGUAGCUGGUCUGAGAGGACGACCAGCCACACUGGGACUGAGACACGGCCCAGACUCCUACGGAAGGCAGCAG
This 262-nucleotide ribosomal RNA is filed under the name uncultured bacterium. RNAcentral's name for it is "partial 16S ribosomal RNA". It matches the Rfam family "Bacterial small subunit ribosomal RNA", at positions 91 to 354 of the family's 1533-position model. The record is from RNAcentral.